This 105-nucleotide small nuclear RNA is filed under the name Physeter macrocephalus (sperm whale). Lineage: Eukaryota; Metazoa; Chordata; Mammalia; Artiodactyla; Physeteridae. The record is from RNAcentral.
GCUCACUUCAGUAGUGCAUACACUAAAACUGAAAUGAUACAGAGAAGAUAACCAUGGCCCUUGUGCUAGGAUGACAUGCAAAUUCGUGAAGGGUUCCAUACCAUG